RNAcentral lists this small nuclear RNA (68 nucleotides) under Phalacrocorax carbo (great cormorant). RNAcentral's name for it is "U5 spliceosomal RNA". It matches the Rfam family "U5 spliceosomal RNA", at positions 7 to 74 of the family's 117-position model. From Rfam's summary of the family: U5 RNA is a component of both types of known spliceosome. The precise function of this molecule is unknown, though it is known that the 5' loop is required for splice site selection and p220 binding, and that both the 3' stem-loop and the Sm site are important for Sm protein binding and cap methylation. The record is from Rfam by way of RNAcentral. Lineage: Eukaryota; Metazoa; Chordata; Aves; Suliformes; Phalacrocoracidae.
UGGUUUCUCUUCAGAUCAUAUAAAUCUUUUGCCUUUUACUAAAGAUUUCCAUGGAGAGGAACACUUUU